AGUCGGGGGCUGUAAAGCUCUCGUCUACACCCAUGUCUUUUGCGUACUCUUGUUUCCUCGGUGGCGCAAGCUGCCGAUUGGACAAACCAAAACCUUUUUUGUAAUUGCAAUCAGCGUCUGAAAAUAAUCUAAUUAUUUACAACUUUCAACAACGGAUCUCUUGGUUCUGGCAUCGAUGAAGAACGCAGCGAAAUGCGAUAAGUAGUGUGAAUUGCAGAAUUCAGUGAAUCAUCGAAUCUUUGAACGCACAUUGCGCCCCUUGGUAUUCCAUGGGGCAUGCCUGUUCGAGCGUCAUUUGUACCCUCAAGCUUUGCUUGGUGUUGGGCGUCUUGUCGUAUUACGACUCGCCUUAAAUUCAUUGGCAGCCGGCACUUUGGCCUAGGAGCGCAGCACAUUUUGCGAUCGUAGCCCGUUGUACUGGCGUCCAUCAAGAACAUUUACCACGUUUGACCUCGGAUCAGGUAGGGAUACCCGCUGAACUUAAGCAUAUCA
RNAcentral lists this ribosomal RNA (492 nucleotides) under Setophoma terrestris. RNAcentral's name for it is "eukaryotic LSU rRNA". The stretch from base 141 to 294 matches the Rfam family "5.8S ribosomal RNA". Lineage: Eukaryota; Fungi; Ascomycota; Dothideomycetes; Pleosporales; Phaeosphaeriaceae. The record is from RNAcentral.